GACAGAGGGUGCAAACGCUGUUCGGAAUUACUGGGCGUAAAGCGCGUGUAGGUGGCGAGGCAAGUCGGGUGUGAAAGCCCUGGGCUCAACCCAGGAAGUGCACUCGAUACUGCCUAGCUAGAGUCCCGGAGAGGUUGGUGGAACUCUCGGUGUAGAGGUGAAAUUCGUAGAUAUCGAGAAGAACACCGGUGGCGAAGGCGGCCAACUGGACGGUGACUGACACUGAGACGCGAAAGCGUGGGGAGCAAACAGG
This 253-nucleotide ribosomal RNA is filed under the name uncultured bacterium. RNAcentral describes it as "partial 16S ribosomal RNA". It matches the Rfam family "Bacterial small subunit ribosomal RNA", at positions 524 to 776 of the family's 1533-position model. The record is from RNAcentral.